RNAcentral lists this ribosomal RNA (348 nucleotides) under Helicobacter pylori. RNAcentral describes it as "bacterial SSU rRNA". It matches the Rfam family "Bacterial small subunit ribosomal RNA", at positions 624 to 969 of the family's 1533-position model. The record is from RNAcentral. Lineage: Bacteria; Pseudomonadati; Campylobacterota; Epsilonproteobacteria; Campylobacterales; Helicobacteraceae.
CAUUUGAAACUACUAUUCUAGAGUGUGGGAGAGGUAGGUGGAAUUCUUGGUGUAGGGGUAAAAUCCGUAGAGAUCAAGAGGAAUACUCAUUGCGAAGGCGACCUGCUGGAACAUUACUGACGCUGAUUGCGCGAAAGCGUGGGGAGCAAACAGGAUUAGAUACCCUGGUAGUCCACGCCCUAAACGAUGGAUGAUAGUUGUUGGAGGGUUUAGUCUCUCCAGUAAUGCAGCUAACGCAUUAAGCAUCCCGCCUGGGGAGUACGGUCGCAAGAUUAAAACUCAAAGGAAUAGACGGGGACCCGCACAAGCGGUGGAGCAUGUGGUUUAAUUCGAAGUUACACGAAGAAC